Molecule: long non-coding RNA, 832 nt
Organism: Culex pipiens pallens (northern house mosquito)
Lineage: Eukaryota; Metazoa; Arthropoda; Insecta; Diptera; Culicidae
Exons: 2
Source: RefSeq, a predicted model, not a curated record
UCCGGCUGAAAUAAGGUCUAUCUUGUAGAGGGUACCCAUAGGGACUCUCAUACCAAAUUUGAGCUCAUUUGGUUGAAAACUGGCUUGUCGCUCGGGGGUUAAAGUUUACAUGGAAAUUACUAUGGGAAAUGCGUGAUUUUACUUCAAACGCUCCUACAGGCUAAGCGACAAACUUUAACCCACACUUACACUAGGUAGCCGUGUCGGGGAUGGUCCAAGGAACAUUUUUCUCUAAGGGUUCAUGGUCAUCCGUUCAACCCUGAGCUUGCGCAACGCGGAUUUAUCCGGCGGCGCCGGAUUCCUUCAAAAUAUCCGUUUUUAUGGUCAACGCAUGCUGCAAGCUAUGACAGAAGCAUUGUUUGAAUGAAUGGAAAACGCGACGCCAAACGUCAACUCACUCAAAUGUAAGCAGAAAAAAAAGAGCGGUAUGCGGUACGCGAAUUAAGGUAUGCAAGAAACAUAAUUGAAUUAAAAAAAAACCCUUCAUGUGGUAGGACUUCGUAGAGGGAAACAGUUAAUCGCACAGGGCCGAUGGAAUCGACGGUGAGGGGUUCGCGAGGUGUUUACCGGAGUAGUCAUCGAAAUGGCAGGACACGUAGCGGUAGUUACGGUUGGACUUCGUGGAGGGAAGCGGUUGAUCGACGCACAGAGCUAUAGCCGGCUUGGGGUUCGCCUGGCAGAGCCAGUGGUAUCGUCGGCGAGAUGUUCACCGGAAUUGGCCUUAUUGAAGCGGAUAAUUUAUCUAUUUGUAAAAAAAAACAUACUAAGAAAGAAUAGCUUUUUCUUUAUUUUUUUGAAUUUUAGAUCAAUAAAAGUUAUUUUAGUAAGGCUU